Long non-coding RNA from Solanum pennellii, 645 nucleotides. RefSeq lists it as uncharacterized. The record is from RefSeq and is a predicted model, not a curated record. Lineage: Eukaryota; Viridiplantae; Streptophyta; Magnoliopsida; Solanales; Solanaceae. The transcript is spliced from 2 exons.
UUCAUUCUCACGUCUCUCACUCUCAUUCUCACGUUUUUGAUCAGCAAAAAAACUCAAAAUAAUAGUUCUUCACUCUUGAAGAACCUACACACAAAGACUCAAAUGAAAAGCUAAGCUAAAAACGAAAAUCAACAACAUUCUUCUCGACGGUUUGGGUUUGGGAUUUUGGUGGUGAGGCAGUGGUGUCGUGGGAAUAGGCAGUAUUGAAACAAGUGUUGAACAACAUUAAGGUGCAGGUGCAGGUGAAUGCUAGAGCUUACGAGACUACGCUGAAGUUAUCCGAACGUGGAGCAUUCAUCCGGACUUGGUAGGACCUAUUACUUUCGAGGAUGCCUAUCUUUUAUAUUGUAUCUUAGAUGUAGGCAUGAGCUAAUGGAGUAUGUUCCGCUAGUGUUUCUUUCCCAUUUAUUUUCAGAUAUUGUAUUGGUGCCAUUUUGGCAACUCUAUAAUUUAUACAGAUAUGACUAUGUCUUUCAUUUGGUUAACUUGACAUUAGAUGGUUGUUGUGAAAUGCUUAUGAGUUUAUGUAGAUAGUGUGCUAAUGGAGUAUGUUCCGCUAGUGUUUCUUUCCCAUUUAUUUUCAGAUAUUGUAUUGGUGCCGUUUUGGCAACUCUAUAAUUUAUACACAUAUGACUAUGUCUUUCA